This 578-nucleotide ribosomal RNA is filed under the name uncultured bacterium. RNAcentral describes it as "bacterial SSU rRNA". It matches the Rfam family "Bacterial small subunit ribosomal RNA", at positions 28 to 698 of the family's 1533-position model. The record is from RNAcentral.
AGUGAACGCUGGCGGUAGGCCUAACACAUGCAAGUCGAACGAGUGGCGGACGGGUGAGGAAUGCAUCGGAAUCUACUCUUUCGUGGGGGAUAACGUAGGGAAACUUACGCUAAUACCGCAUACGAAUGAAUGAGCCGAUGCCCGAUUAGCUAGUUGGCGGGGUAAGAGCCCACCAAGGCGACGAUCGGUAGCUGGUCUGAGAGGAUGAUCAGCCACACUGGAACUGAGACACGGUCCAGACUCCUACGGGAGGCAGCAGUGGGGAAUAUUGGACAAUGGGCGCAAGCCUGAUCCAGCCAUACCGCGUGGGUGAAGAAGGCCUUCGGGUUGUAAAGCCCUUUUGUUGGGAAAGCGAUACCCAAAGAAUAAGCACCGGCUAACUUCGUGCCAGCAGCCGCGGUAAUACGAAGGGUGCAAGCGUUACUCGGAAUUACUGGGCGUAAAGCGUGCGUAGGUGGUUGUUUAAGUCUGUCGUGAAAGCCCUGGGCUCAACCUGGGAAUUGCGAUGGAAACUGGGCGACUAGAGUGUGGCAGAGGAUAGUGGAAUUCCUGGUGUAGCAGUGAAAUGCGUAGAGAUC